UCGAGAAUUUUUCUCAAUGGGGGAAACCCUGAAGGAGCGACGCCGCGUGGAGGAUGAAGGUCUUCGGAUUGUAAACUCCUGUCAUCAGAGAACAAUGAAUGCAUUAACCGUGCAUUUUGAUAGUAUCUGAAGAGGAAGAGACGGCUAACUCUGUGCCAGCAGCCGCGGUAAUACAGAGGUCUCAAGCGUUGUUCGGAUUUAUUGGGCGUAAAGGGUGCGUAGGCGGCGGAGCAAGUAAUGUGUGAAAUCCCGGAGCUUAACUCUGGAACUGCACUUUAUACUACUUUGCUAGAGUAUUGGAGAGGAGACUGGAAUUUACGGUGUAGCAGUGAAAUGCGUAGAUAUCGUAAGGAAGACCAGUGGCGAAGGCGAGUCUCUGGACAAUAACUGACGCUGAGGCACGAAGGCCAGGGGAGCAAACGG
This 423-nucleotide ribosomal RNA is filed under the name uncultured bacterium. RNAcentral describes it as "bacterial SSU rRNA". It matches the Rfam family "Bacterial small subunit ribosomal RNA", at positions 355 to 775 of the family's 1533-position model. The record is from RNAcentral.